CGGACGGGUGAGUAACGCGUGGGUAACCUGCCUCAUACAGGGGAAUAACAGUUAGAAAUGACUGCUAAUACCGCAUAAGACCACAGCACCGCAUGGUGCAGGGGUAAAAACUCCGGUGGUAUGAGAUGGACCCGCGUCUGAUUAGCUGGUUGGUGGGGUAACGGCCUACCAAGGCGACGAUCAGUAGCCGACCUGAGAGGGUGACCGGCCACAUUGGGACUGAGACACGGCCCAA
This 235-nucleotide ribosomal RNA is filed under the name uncultured bacterium. Its description in RNAcentral is "partial 16S ribosomal RNA". It matches the Rfam family "Bacterial small subunit ribosomal RNA", at positions 99 to 334 of the family's 1533-position model. The record is from RNAcentral.